RNAcentral lists this ribosomal RNA (405 nucleotides) under uncultured prokaryote. RNAcentral's name for it is "bacterial SSU rRNA". It matches the Rfam family "Bacterial small subunit ribosomal RNA", at positions 355 to 774 of the family's 1533-position model. The record is from RNAcentral.
UGGGGAAUAUUGGGCAAUGGGCGCAAGCCUGACCCAGCAACGCCGCGUGAGGGAAGAAGGUCUUCGGAUUGUAAACCUCUGUCCUUGGGGACGAAAAAAAUGACGGUACCCAAGGAGGAAGCUCCGGCUAACUACGUGCCAGCAGCCGCGGUAAUACGUAGGGAGCAAGCGUUGUCCGGAAUUACUGGGCGUAAAGGGUGCGUAGGCGGUCAGGCAAGUCAGAUGUGAAAUCCCCGGGCUUAACUCGGGUGGUGCAUUUGAAACUGCUUGACUUGAGUGCAGGAGAGGAAAGCGGAAUUCCUAGUGUAGCGGUGAAAUGCGUAGAUAUUAGGAGGAACACCAGUGGCGAAGGCGGGUUUCUGGACUGUAACUGACGCUGAGACGCGAAAACGUGGGGAGGAAAAA